UGGUUGAUCCUGCCGGAGGUUACUGCUAUCGAGGUUCGACUAAGCCAUGCGAGUCGAAUGUAGCAAUACAUGGCGUACUGCUCAGUAACACGUGGACAACCUACCCUUAGGACGGGGAUAAACCCGGGAAACUGGGUAUAAUACCCGAUAGUUCUCGAUUGCUGGAAUGCAUCGAGUACUAAAGCUCCGGCGCCUAAGGAUGGGUCUGCGGCCUAUCAGGUAGUAGUGGGUGGAGCGUACCUACUAGCCUACGACGGGUACGGGUUGUGAGAGCAAGAGCCCGGAGAUGGAUUCUGAGACACGAAUCCAGGCCCUACGGGGUGCAGCAGGCGCGAAAACUUUACAAUGGUGGAAACAGCGAUAAGGGGACCUCGAGUGGCAGGUUACAAAUCUGGCUGGCGUGAUGGCUAAAAAGCAUUGCAUAGCAAGGGCCGGGCAAGACCGGUGGCGGCCGCCGCGGUAACACCGGCGGGCUCGAGUGGUAACCGUUAUUAUGUGGGUCUAAAGGGUCUGGUAGCGGCCGGAUAAGUCUCUUGGGAAAUCUGGCAGCUUAAGUGUCAGGGUUUCAGGGGAUACUGUCUGGCUCNAGGNCGGGANAAGGUGAGAGGUACUUCNNGGGGGUAGGGGGUGAAAUCUUUGUAUCCCUUGAGGGACAGCCGGUGGGCGGAGGCGUCUCACCAAAACGGACCUGACGGCAAGGGGACNAAAGCUAGGGGGACGAACCGGAUAA
Molecule: ribosomal RNA, 730 nt
Filed under: uncultured archaeon
Lineage: Archaea
Description: bacterial SSU rRNA
Rfam family: Archaeal small subunit ribosomal RNA
Source: RNAcentral